This 468-nucleotide ribosomal RNA is filed under the name uncultured bacterium. RNAcentral describes it as "partial 16S ribosomal RNA". It matches the Rfam family "Bacterial small subunit ribosomal RNA", at positions 28 to 507 of the family's 1533-position model. The record is from RNAcentral.
GACGAACGCUGGCGGCGUGCUUAACACAUGCAAGUCGAACGGAAAGGCCCUGCUUUUGUGGGGUGCUCGAGUGGCGAACGGGUGAGUAACACGUGAGUAACCUGCCCUUUACUUUGGGAUAACUUCAGGAAACUGGGGCUAAUACCGGAUAGGAGCUCCUGCUGCAUGGUGGGGGUUGGAAAGUUUCGGCGGUUGGGGAUGGACUCGCGGCUUAUCAGCUUGUUGGUGGGGUAGUGGCUUACCAAGGCUUUGACGGGUAGCCGGCCUGAGAGGGUGACCGGCCACAUUGGGACUGAGAUACGGACCAGACUCCUACGGGAGGCAGCAGUGGGGAAUAUUGCACAGUGGGCGGAAGCCUGAUGCAGCGACGCCGCGUGCGGGAUGACGGCCUUCGGGUUGUAAACCGCUUUCGCCUGUGACGAAGCGUGAGUGACGGUAAUGGGUAAAGAAGCACCGGCUAACUACGUG